RNAcentral lists this long non-coding RNA (311 nucleotides) under Bos taurus (domestic cattle). RNAcentral's name for it is "long non-coding RNA NONBTAT016572". Lineage: Eukaryota; Metazoa; Chordata; Mammalia; Artiodactyla; Bovidae. The record is from RNAcentral.
UUAAAAUGCAAACGUUUUAAAAUCAUUUUAAAAUUGAUUACACACUAAUCUUAGUGUAACAUGCAAACAUGUUUUAAAGUUCUUUAAAAAAUAUUACUUAGGCAAGAAGGAGAGGAUAUGAGCGAGCCCUGGAACAGCUAGAAUCAAAAGGACAGCCUGUAUACAUAUGUACAUUUCAGGUAUGGUCUUUUGGUUGGUUUAUGCUUUUGCUACAUGGUCUUUGCAGGGGUUUAAGACACCAGCUAUUAAUAAAUACUGUUCUUGUUAGAAGGAAAAAGAGGUGUAUGACAUAAGUGAAACGGGUCCCCACC